Molecule: ribosomal RNA, 669 nt
Filed under: Triticum aestivum (bread wheat)
Lineage: Eukaryota; Viridiplantae; Streptophyta; Magnoliopsida; Poales; Poaceae
Description: partial small subunit ribosomal RNA
Source: RNAcentral
AUGGCGGGAAUGCUCGGCGUUGGCGCCACCCGUUCCCGCCUCCUCCGCUCCCCGCUACCCCUAUUUACCAGGCGCGCUCCCCUCCACCUCGCACCCCACCCCGACCCCAUCUCCCGCCGCCUCCUCUUCCUCCCAUCAAGAACCCUCACCGCCGCAGCGACGACGAUGGCCGCCACCAACGGUACCGCCGCCGCGGACCCCGUCCAGGAACAGCCCAAGGCGGCGGCGGCCCCCUCGCCGGCGCCGCUGUUGCUCAAGGUGAAGAAGCUGUCGGCCAACGCCGUGCUGCCCUCCCGCGGCUCCGCGCUGGCAGCCGGCUACGACCUCUCCAGCGCGGUGGAGGCCGUGGUGCCGGCGCGCGGCAAGGCGCUCGUCGCCACCGACCUCAGCGUCGCCGUCCCGCACGGCACCUACGCGCGCAUCGCGCCGCGGUCGGGGCUGGCGUGGAAGCACUCGAUCGACGUGGGCGCGGGCGUGGUGGACGCCGACUACCGGGGCCCCGUCGGCGUCGUCCUCUUCAACCACUCGGACGCCGACUUCGCCGUGAAGCCCGGGGACCGCGUCGCGCAGCUGGUCGUCGAGAGGAUCGCCACGCCGGACGUCGCCGAGGUGGACGACCUCGACGCCACCGUCAGGGGCGAGGGCGGGUUCGGAUCCACCGGCGUUUGA